Molecule: ribosomal RNA, 490 nt
Filed under: uncultured bacterium
Lineage: Bacteria
Description: bacterial SSU rRNA
Rfam family: Bacterial small subunit ribosomal RNA
Source: RNAcentral
AGGACGAACGCUGGCGGCGUGCCUAACAUAUGCAAGUCGAACGGGGAUUUGUUCGGCAGAAUCCUAGUGGCGAACGGGUGAGUAACGCGUAGGCAACCUGCCCUCCGGCCGGGGACAACACUCCGAAAGGGGUGCUAAUACCGGAUACGAAGUCUGUGCCGCAUGGUACGGAUUUGAAAGAUGGCCUCUAUUUAUAAGCUAUCGCCGGGGGAUGGGCUUGCGUCCGAUUAGCUGGUUGGUGGGGUAACGGCCUACCAAGGCGACGAUCGGUAGCCGGCCUGAGAGGGUGAACGGCCACACUGGAACUGAGAUACGGUCCAGACUCCUACGGGAGGCAGCAGUGGGGAAUAUUGGGCAAUGGGGGCAACCCUGACCCAGCGACGCCGCGUGGGGGAAGACGGCCUUCGGGUUGUAAACCUCUUUUGUACGGGAAGAAGGAAGUGACGGUACUGUACGAAUAAGUCCCGGCUAACUACGUGCCAGCAGCUGC